RNAcentral lists this long non-coding RNA (596 nucleotides) under Lathyrus oleraceus (garden pea). RNAcentral's name for it is "Pisum sativum (pea) long non-coding RNA (PSAT_LNC035840)". The record is from RNAcentral. Lineage: Eukaryota; Viridiplantae; Streptophyta; Magnoliopsida; Fabales; Fabaceae.
AAAAAAUAUAGGAAUAACUUUGUAGUAAUAUAUGAGAAAACCAUAAAGUUCGCUCAAAACAGAAUUAUGAGGAAAAAAUACCAUGAGUACGGUAUGUAUACUACUUACCUGGUACGGGUACUUCACCAUUCUGUUUGAAUUUGAAGUCUUUCAAUGUAAAAUAUGAAGAAAAAAUGGCUGUCAUUAAUGGUUUUCAGUGUUGCGCACUGGCCAACCAAACAAUGUCAGAUCUGCUAAAGGAACUAUGAAGAUGAUCAAUCAAAUUGAUGCACGCCUAAGCUACAUUCUCCACGACUCUCUCAGAUGGCGAAGAUUCUUGCUUGAAUGUGAAAAAAAAAGAGCAAACCAAUUUAUAUCAAUCACCACAAACCCAAGCACAAGUCAUGUUUAGAUUAGUGACUGGUCACCCUUUUCAUUGAUGCUGUUAAUGUAUGUACAUUUUGAAUUUUCACGUUUAAUUUUUGGAUUCUCUGCUUUUUUAAAAUAUAUUUGUCAGGAAGAAAGUAUCUUUGAAUUUGGUUGUCUUCUUUAAAUGUUAAAUCUCUAAUUUAUCCCCGAACAUAAAUUUUACGACUAUUAUUUUUCUGUGAGUGCAG